Molecule: ribosomal RNA, 252 nt
Filed under: Butyricimonas virosa
Lineage: Bacteria; Pseudomonadati; Bacteroidota; Bacteroidia; Bacteroidales; Odoribacteraceae
Description: partial 16S ribosomal RNA
Rfam family: Bacterial small subunit ribosomal RNA
Source: RNAcentral
UACGGGGGAUGCGAGCGUUAUCCGGAUUUAUUGGGUUUAAAGGGCGCGUAGGCGGGACGUCAAGUCAGCGGUAAAAGACUGCAGCUAAACUGUAGCACGCCGUUGAAACUGUUGACCUCGAGACGAGACGAGGGAGGCGGAACAAGUGAAGUAGCGGUGAAAUGCAUAGAUAUCACUUGGAACCCCGAUAGCGAAGGCAGCUUCCCAGGCUCGUUCUGACGCUGAUGCGCGAGAGCGUGGGUAGCGAACAGG